This 829-nucleotide ribosomal RNA is filed under the name uncultured bacterium. Its description in RNAcentral is "bacterial SSU rRNA". It matches the Rfam family "Bacterial small subunit ribosomal RNA", at positions 67 to 897 of the family's 1533-position model. The record is from RNAcentral.
GGGCAGCGGGGUAGCAAUACUGCCGGCGACCGGCGCACGGGUGCGUAACACGUAUGCAACCUACCUUAAACUGGGAGAUAGCCCGGGGAAACUCGGAUUAAUACCCCAUAACACAGCGAUGUCUCAUGACAAUGUUGUUAAAGAUUUAUCGGUUUAAGAUGGGCAUGCGUUCGAUUAGCUAGUUGGUAAGGUAAUGGCUUACCAAGGCUACGAUCGAUAGGGGGUCUGAGAGGAUGAUCCCCCACACUGGUACUGAGAUACGGACCAGACUCCUACGGGAGGCAGCAGUAGGGAAUAUUGGUCAAUGGAGGCAACUCUGAACCAGCCAUGCCGCGUGUAGGAAGAAGGCGUUCUGCGUUGUAAACUACUUUUGAUUGGGAACAAAUGACUCUUGCGAGAGUAGCUGAGUGUACCAAUAGAAUAAGCCACGGCUAACUACGUGCCAGCAGCCGCGGUAAUACGUAGGUGGCAAGCGUUGUCCGGAUUUAUUGGGUUUAAAGGGUGCGUAGGCGGCUUAAUAAGUCAGUGGUGAAAGCCGAUCGCUUAACGAUCGAACUGCCAUUGAUACUGCUAGGCUUGAGUAUAGUUGAGGUAGGCGGAAUUGACAGUGUAGCGGUGAAAUGCAUAGAUAUUGUCAAGAACACCAAUUGCGAAGGCAGCUUACUAAAGUAUAACUGACGCUGAGGCACGAAAGUGCGGGGAUCAAACAGGAUUAGAUACCCUGGUAGUCCGCACCGUAAACGAUGAUCACUCGCUGUGUGCGAUAAACAGUACGCGGCCAAGCGAAAGCGAUAAGUGAUCCACCUGGGGAGUACGCCCGCAAGGGUGA